Molecule: ribosomal RNA, 451 nt
Filed under: uncultured bacterium
Lineage: Bacteria
Description: bacterial SSU rRNA
Rfam family: Bacterial small subunit ribosomal RNA
Source: RNAcentral
GUGGGGAAUUUUUGGCAAUGGGGGAAACCCUGACCAAGCAACGCCGCGUGGAGGAUGAAGGCCUUCGGGUCGUAAACUCCUGUCGGAGGGGACGAAUGCGCCUGGGAUGAAUAACUCCGGGUGUUGACGGUACCCUAUGAGGAAGCCCCGGCUAACUCCGUGCCAGCAGCCGCGGUAAUACGGGGGGGGCAAGCGUUGUUCGGAAUUACUGGGCGUAAAGGGCGCGUAGGCGGCCGAGUUUGUCCCUCGUGAAAUCCCACGGCUCAACCGUGGAACUGCGGGGGAAACGGCUCGGCUUGAGUCCGGGAGAGGAGAGUGGAAUUCCCAGUGUAGCGGUGAAAUGCGUAGAUAUUGGGAGGAACACCGGUGGCGAAGGCGGCUCUCUGGACCGGUACUGACGCUGAGGCGCGAAAGCUAGGGGAGCAAACGGGAUUAGAAACCCCUGUAGUCC